This 253-nucleotide ribosomal RNA is filed under the name uncultured bacterium. RNAcentral's name for it is "partial 16S ribosomal RNA". It matches the Rfam family "Bacterial small subunit ribosomal RNA", at positions 524 to 776 of the family's 1533-position model. The record is from RNAcentral.
GACGAACCGUGCGAACGUUGUUCGGAUUCACUGGGCUUAAAGGGCGCGUAGGCGGCUUGCCAAGUCAGGGGUGAAAUCGUUCGGCUCAACCGGACAAGUGCUUCUGAUACUGGCGGGCUGGAGGGAGGUAGGGGCAUGCGGAACUGUGGGUGGAGCGGUGAGAUGCGUUGAUAUCCACAGGAACUCCGGUGGCGAAGGCGGCAUGCUGGACCCGAUCUGACGCUGAGGCGCGAAAGCCAGGGGAGCAAACGGG